This 468-nucleotide ribosomal RNA is filed under the name uncultured bacterium. Its description in RNAcentral is "partial 16S ribosomal RNA". It matches the Rfam family "Bacterial small subunit ribosomal RNA", at positions 28 to 507 of the family's 1533-position model. The record is from RNAcentral.
GACGAACGCUGGCGGCGUGCUUAAUACAUGCAAGUCGAACGGAAAGGCUCUGCUAUUGUGGGGUGCUAGAGUGGCGAACGGGUGAGUAACACGAGAGUAACCUGCCCUUGUCUUUGGGAUAACUACAGGAAACUGGGGAUAAUACCGGAUAGGAGCUACUGCUGCAUGGCGGUGGUUGGAAAGUGGGGGCGGUGGUGGAUGGUCGCGAGGUUUAUCAGGUUGUUGGUGGGGUAGUGGCUUACCAAGGCUUUGACGGGUAGCCGGCCUGAGAGGUUGAACGGCGCCAUUGGGACUGAGAGAGGGACCAGUCUCGUACGGGAGGCAGCAGUGGGGAAUAUUGCACAAUAGGGGGAAGUCGGAUGCAGAAACGCCGCGUGCGUAAUGACGGCCUUCGGGUUAUAAACCGCUUUGGCCUGAGAUGAAGCGUUAGUGACGGUAAUUAGUAAAAAAGCACCGGCUAACUACGUG